RNAcentral lists this ribosomal RNA (496 nucleotides) under uncultured bacterium. Its description in RNAcentral is "partial 16S ribosomal RNA". It matches the Rfam family "Bacterial small subunit ribosomal RNA", at positions 28 to 506 of the family's 1533-position model. The record is from RNAcentral.
GAUGAACGCUGGCGGCGUGCCUAAUACAUGCAAGUCGAGCGAACAGAUAAGGAGCUUGCUCCUUUGACGUUAGCGGCGGACGGGUGAGUAACACGUGGGUAACCUACCUAUAAGACUGGGAUAACUUCGGGAAACCGGAGCUAAUACCGGAUAAUAUUUCGAACCGCAUGGUUCGAUAGUUAAAGAUGGUUUUGCUAUCACUUAUAGAUGGACCCGCGCCGUAUUAGCUAGUUGGUAAGGUAACGGCUUACCAAGGCGACGAUACGUAGCCGACCUGAGAGGGUGAUCGGCCACACUGGAACUGAGACACGGUCCAGACUCCUACGGGAGGCAGCAGUAGGGAAUCUUCCGCAAUGGGCGAAAGCCUGACGGAGCAACGCCGCGUGAGUGAUGAAGGUCUUCGGAUCGUAAAACUCUGUUAUUAGGGAAGAACAUACGUGUAAGUAACUGUGCACGUCUUGACGGUACCUAAUCAGAAAGCCACGGCUAACUACGU